GAUCCUGGCUCAGGAUGAACGCUAGCUACAGGCUUAACACAUGCAAGUCGAGGGGCAGCAUGAACUUAGCUUGCUAAGUUUGAUGGCGACCGGCGCACGGGUGAGUAACACGUAUCCAACCUGCCGAUGACUCGGGGAUAGCCUUUCGAAAGAAAGAUUAAUACCCGAUGGCAUAGUUCUUCCGCAUGGUAGAACUAUUAAAGAACUUCGGUCAUCGAUGGGGAUGCGUUCCAUUAGGUUUGG
RNAcentral lists this ribosomal RNA (243 nucleotides) under uncultured bacterium. RNAcentral describes it as "partial 16S ribosomal RNA". It matches the Rfam family "Bacterial small subunit ribosomal RNA", at positions 15 to 252 of the family's 1533-position model. The record is from RNAcentral.